UUCCUGCAGAAUCCCAGUGUGGUGGCAGUUUCCAAAUUACAUGAGAUGAGCUAGGGAUCCUCUCCAAGAUCACAGACUUUUCUAUGACCCCUGACAGGCCAGGCGUAGGGCCAUGAACAUGAGUGAUUUGAGUCAAGCAGGUGCACUAUCCAACACACACCUUACAGCCCUAAUAAUAUUUUAUUAUACAUACUAUUAUUUAUUAAUAGAAAGUUUAUAUUUGUAAUAGAGUCUUAAAUAUUUAUAUAAAAGAGCUACAUACAUUAACAGGGCUUACAUCAUUAAUAUAGGGUAAUACUAUUCUCACUUUCAAUUGAGGAAACAGGCUCAGAACACUAAUAAUUAGUUCGAGAUGAUGGAGCUGAAAAGCCAGACUUUAUAUGCAAUGUUUCUGAUUUCUAAAUGGCAAAAAUUUACAUAUUUGUUAAGAAACGCUAUUUUGGGUCAGGCGUGGUGAUGUGUGCCUGUCCUCCCAGCCACUCUGGAGGCCAAGGUGGGAGGAUUACUUGAGGCCAGAAGUUGGAGGCUGCAGUGAGCCAUGAUUGUACCACUGCACUCCAGUCGGGGCAGGAGAGUGAAAGGCUGUCUCAAAACAAACAAAAAAUAUAUGCUCUUUGGGCCUGGACUGGACAGGCCACACAAAAUACCCCUGGGGAAGAAGGAGAUUUGACUCCUGGCUUGCAGCCUGUGUAGGGCCACCAAGUGAUCAGGUGGGGUCUGGGGUCAGGGAAUCCUGGGCCCAGCUGCUAGUUCCAUCACUUACAAGCUGGUGCUUGCUGAGCUCACUUGGUACCUGGGGAUGGUCCUAGCAUCUUAUGCACAGGGGUUAGGCUCCAGGUGAGGUUCCAGGGCAGAGGCCUGGGGUUUUGCCCACGCCUGAGGCAGAGUGACAA
This 893-nucleotide long non-coding RNA is filed under the name Homo sapiens (human). RNAcentral describes it as "HSALNT0262781". The record is from RNAcentral. Lineage: Eukaryota; Metazoa; Chordata; Mammalia; Primates; Hominidae.